GUUGACCUCGGAUCGGGUAGGGAUACCCGCUGAACUUAAGCAUAUC
Molecule: ribosomal RNA, 46 nt
Filed under: Nowamyces piperitae
Lineage: Eukaryota; Fungi; Ascomycota; Dothideomycetes; Capnodiales
Description: partial 28S ribosomal RNA
Source: RNAcentral